This 265-nucleotide ribosomal RNA is filed under the name uncultured bacterium. RNAcentral describes it as "partial 16S ribosomal RNA". It matches the Rfam family "Bacterial small subunit ribosomal RNA", at positions 793 to 1055 of the family's 1533-position model. The record is from RNAcentral.
GUCCACGCCGUAAACGAUGGAUGCUAGCCGUUGGUGGGUUUACCCUUCAGUGGCGCAGCUAACGCAUUAAGCAUCCCGCCUGGGGAGUACGGUCGCAAGAUUAAAACUCAAAGGAAUUGACGGGGCCCGCACAAGCGGUGGAGCAUGUGGUUCAAUUCGAAGCAACGCGCAGAACCUUACCAGCCUUUGACAUCCCGGUCGCGAGCACCAGAGAUGGAGCUCUUCAGUUCGGCUGGACCGGAGACAGGUGCUGCAUGGCUGUCGU